UUUGGGCUAGGAUACUCAUAGAUAUCCCCUAACUAGCUCGACCGUGGUAGUAGCGAGGAACGUGACAUUUCUGAGUUACCUUUGUAGCCCAUAUCCCGUUAGCAGGAUCGAUAGGGUUUAUAGGUGCAGGUCGAACAUCCUUUGUGGUGUCUAGAUUCCGUGAGCCUCCCCAAUAGAACAGUAGAUCAUCCUUACCAAGGUUAGAACGAGAUUACGGUUGUAGUCUUCUCUAUACAUCGCUCACAUCGAGUCACAUUCUUUGUAGCCUAAAGGGUAGUAGCAAUAGAUUUGGUUAGUCAGAUGCACGCUUUCUCCCAGUGGAAAAAAUAUAAAUACGAUACUCUGGAUAACCUCCCGGGUGAAGUGCUCACCGAUAUCCGUGCGCUUGCGGAUCAUUUCCUCAUGGCGUUACCAAAUAUCAACAAGCAUUUCUGGUGCCGUUGCUGGGGGUUUGCUGAGAUAACUUUAAGUCUUGCUAUUAUCUUGUAUUAUACUUUUAUACUUUUAUUCUUUUAUCUUUUUAUUUUUUCCAUCUUUAUGGAUAACUCAAAUUCUACUCCUAUUAUUGAAUUUUUUGCACCUUCGGAGACCAGCCAUAGACCAUGGGAGUCAACAAGUCCUUUCUUUGCCCCUAAUUAUGAUAUGUUCCCGAAGUUGAUUGCAAUAGGUCAAAACCAACCCUUUUCUAUAGCUUAGGUCCUAUCUUUUAAUCAAGAAGAUAAUGAACUUUUAGCAACACCUAGGGAAUCUGUUAAUCUUUCUAUAAAUUCUGGUUUAAACCUAGCCCUACAAGACCAUGUUUUUUCUCGAUAUUUUCACAUUGGUCUUAAUCAUAUAACCUUUGGUAGAGUUUUUCUUUCUUUAUCUGUUAGUAAAGCAAGGUAUGUCUUCAUUCGUGGACAUCCUUCUUGCACUAGUCUUCAUAGAAAAAUCCUAGAGAUAGAGAAGGAAUCAUCUCCCAGACAAGGAAAGGAAGUUUCAAUAGCCGAUUUCCAAACAUUUCAAUCCCAUGAUUCGGCUAUCCAACCCAAACUUGUAGUGCUCCAAAAUAAUCUAAGAGAAGAAGAAAUUCUACCUUUGAAAAUUCAUUUUGGGAUGAGCUUAAACUUUCUGCUUCAUAAGAGACCUUUGAGUGCAUAUAGUCUGAACCUUCCUAAGAAGGGAUCUCUUAGAAAGCAUCUCAAAUCUAAUCCCUUUGAUGGACAUCUAGAAAGACUCAAGGAUGGCAUCUUAAGUGAUGCAAUAGAAGGAGAGCGAAGCCAUUUAGAAGACAAUCUCAUCUUCUCCCCUUCUACGCCCACUUUUGAUGACUCAUUCGAACCUAUCUUUAAACCCAUCCUUGAGCUUAAUGAUUUCUACUCUGCUCUUUCUCUUGAACCUCCCGAUGAUCCUAUGAAUCUCUCUAGACAUCACAUGCAUAAGAGUCACCAAGACCAUAAGGAGGAUCGAGAAGAGCAACAUCAAUGGCUAGAGGGCAUUAAAAAUCCAUGUGCUAUCACCAUUGAAUGGAUGGACAAGGAAGAAGCCUUAAUGGAUUCUGACUUUGGCUCAAUUUCAAAUGGUGAGUUCUUAACUCCCUUUGAAGAUGAGAUUCAUCCAACUACAGAAGAGGACAUAGGCGAGACCAAUCUAGGAGAAACUCCGAACAUUCAGAUUGGAGACGAAGAUAACAUUAAUGAGCAUGGAAUUUAUUUCAUAGCCACUUCGUUUACUCCAUGCUCAUAUGAAACAUCUUCCCAAUCUAUUGGUCUCUCCAACAUCACCACAUUUGAGAUCUCCCACCCCCUCUUCCUUUCUAUUUAUAAAAACUUUAAAAGGGCGGUUGUCGAUGCAUAUGUCUAUAAUAAAUAUUGCAGAUCUCGUUGGGUUGAUCUUGAUAUAGGUCAGCGUUGGAGGGGAAACCACUUCGCCGACAUAAAUUGAUGGUUUCCCAAGGACAAGCUUAGUGUCCUAAAACAAGCACUGAUCAGAUCGUAACAUGAGCUGUUAAUUAUUUGCAACAUUACCUUGUGUAUUGAGCAUAUAAGGAUAAUUGUAAAAAUAUUCCUUCGGGUAUUCUUGUCACUAACCUUUCUAGGAUUGGAGCAAGAAGAUCGGAUGAAUGACAAGCACAAGGUAUGUCCAACCAACCAUCAUACAACAUUGAAUUAAAUUCAUCCAAACUUGAAUUUUGUAAAAUUCAAGCUUGGGCGAGUACUUUACAUAAAAACAUCAUUUGCCAUGUUGCUAUGUUGGUUGUCCCUACCUUUGAGACAUACUCAAUUUGUUAAAUACUAAUCACACUACUUCAUCUCCACUUGAGUAGAUCUCUAUAAAUGCUCUCAUGCUACCUUUAUUUGCUUUAGUAUAUGUCUAGGUUUGGAGUAGUUUCAUUUAUCUCUUAAUUAAGCAUGGUGCUUAGUUUAGGAAUGAUGAUCUUACUUCCAAGGGUUUUUAAAUUAAGCAUGGUGCUUAGGUUAAAAUGCCCUCCUAAAUCAAAUUAGACAUGGUGUCUAGGUUGAUUUUUGAGCCGAUAGUUUGCUAUACGAUAUGGGAUAUUUUGUUGGACUAACCCCUGCAGGAAAACUUUCAAUAUCGACCUGGGAAGUCUUGAGAUAAACUCACAUUGGAGACAAAGAGAGAGACAAAUGAAGGUUAACAAUUUACACAAGGAAGGCAUAGCUCACAAGAGAUGAUCCAUGGAGGGUGCCAUAAACACGAUACACAACCGCUAAGAAAGGAAAGUUUCCACAAGGUGAUACUGUACCAUCACUCUUCAAGUAAGGUAACAUCUUAAGGUACUUGACUAUCGCUUUUAUAAGCUUCUCCUUGGUUCUGGCGUUCACAUGAAUAAAAGAGACAAACAUGUAUGAUUUGUAGCUCCAAAUUAACCAACCCAAUUAAUUCAGCAUGUUUAGUCCUUUAAUCUUUGUUCUUGGUACUACCUUCAUGAUCCCACACUCCUAAUCAUAUAAGCUAAAAUGUUGCACAUUCAAUCUUUGGAAGAUAUAAACAAAACAUAAAUAUAGAUAGAUUAUCUUUCCAUUAGGUCGAGCGAUCCGAUCUGACAAAUGUUUUAAAUGCUACACUAAUGAUCUUAUUAUCCAUCAACUUUGUCUUGCUCACUAUGCUUGAGGUUAGAGAAGAACAAAUACACUUUUGGUUCUGUUGGUGUUUUUCACCAACAGGGCCCAUGCACUUGAUCUCUGCCUUGUCUUUAUGAGCAGGAACACUUCGAGCAAAACCUGAAGAAGUUUUACAACUCCUAGAUUCUUCCAAGUGAAGGACCUAGAUCUACGAGACAAACACACUGGAGAUACUCGACAAUUAGGCAAUCACUGCCCUGAGAUGCUUGGUGACGUAAAUUCAAUCAACAACAACUACUACUACAACCGUCCUCAAUAAAAUCAAGGUUGGAAUCAAUAGAGGCCUAACUACUCAGCUUGCAAAUUGGACACUAAGUUUCCCAAAGGAAAUAUUGAAGAACCUCUGCGUCCGAGUUGGUACCUUGUACGCUCCAGUAGACUUCAUGGUGAUAGAGACUGGUAUUGAUGAGAGGGCACCCAUCAUCCUAGGGAGGCCAUUCCUGAACACCUCGAGAGCUGUCAUCUACGCUAGUGUUGCGAAGAUCAGUUUCUACAUCAAGGGGAAGAAGGAGACUUUCCUUCAAGAACAAGACUACACAAAUUUUAGAGCAAUCCUGACAUGAACCAAGGAAGAGGACCAACAGGAGGAACAGGAACAAGCAAAUGUGGACCGAGUCACCUAAGAUGGUCACUGCAGCUCAAGGAGGUCAAGAUCGUCGACUUAAGUCACCAUUCUUGAACAAAAAAGGACGACCUAGGUUAUUGAUAUGGGAGAAGACGAGUACGAUCCACCCAUCAUCCUUGGGAGACCGUUCCUCAUCACCGUUAAAGCAAUCAUCUACAUUGGAACCGGAGAAGUCCACAUGCACUUCCCCUCUGAGAAGACGACGCAACUACAACCAGAGGAGGCAAAUCAUCAAGGAUGGAUGGGCAGACUACGAAGGAGAAGUGGUAAGGUCUAAAGACAUACAGCUUGAACAGAACUGUCCUAAGGAGACUGUAGCACCGAGUCAGGUGUGGAGAGAGAAUAAAGUUAUACACGAAGAGGAGGCACCACUGGAACCACCGACUACGCCAUCCAGCGAAUCCUAGGACGACUGAGAAAACGGAGAGUCCCAUUCGGAGGACUUAAAAACACCGAACACAUUGCCAAGAGGAAAACUUGGUAGUUAUCCUUUUCCCUUCAAUUAUUUAAAAUAGUUUGCUUAGUUAAUCAGGUUCAUAUUAUCUCAAAAAGAAAAUAAAAAUGUUAAAAAUAGUAAGCCCCAUGUGAGUAUGCUCAUGGCAUAAAACCCACAAGUACAUUCACUGUGGUGGCGUAAAAAUAAAAUAAAUAUUCCUAUCCUAUAAAAAUAAAAAUAUAAAAACAAAUUUAUGAUCCUACUAAAGAGAGUAACAUUUAUUAGGAGGAAUCUCAAUAGGAUAAAGGCUAAGAGAUUUUAUGCUAACACUUAACCAGUUCCACAAAGCUUUGUUGUAUAUUUGAGCUCCACAGAAUUCAAGGAUCAAAGAAGACUAGCAGACGGAGGACAUCCUAGUCGCUGUCAGGGUGCUGCCGACAUUCAAAUAGACCUCCGCCACCUGCUAGCUACAUCAGAAGAAAUUACGUCAAAAUCCAGCUUGGGGGAGAGCACCCCCAUUUAUCCAGCUAAGUGUUUCUACUCGCAUUUAUACUUUAUUCAAAUAAUAAAAAAAGAUGCAUAAUCAUAAAAACCCAAAUAAAGAUUUCGUGCUUUUAUAUAUAUCUUUGCUUAGUUUGUUAAAGAAAUAAAUAAAUAAAAUUUGCUAUGAACCCUCAUAAUAAGCUCUCACAUGGAAAUGAUGAAUAGUUGCUCUGUCAUGACUAGUUCUCAAAAAAUUAAAAUCUCUCUCAAGUUUAGGCAUGACUGUUAUGAAUUAAGAUUUGCUCUAAACAUGAACUUGUGGGAAGAGUACUUGAUCUAAAGUCUAAGUCGUUAACGGAUAUGAUAUCGGAAGGUUGAGCUGCUGUUUAUCUGUUUCUAGAUAUGCUAGAAUUCUUUAGAAUUUUAUCUUUCAAAAUCUUUAAAAUGUUGCAUGAUGAGUUCCUGUAUGAUGAGAGUUUAAAUUCCUACCACAGCCAUAUAUACAUGCUUGCUAGACUUUGAGCCACAUAUUUAUUUUUACUGCUUAUGAGCAUUGAUUGUGGUCAAGCUGUGUAGACCCUUAGGAGCUUGUCAUGCGGUUAAAAUCAAGAUUCACUUGCACGUUCACUCAUACAUGAUACUUCUACUCUGGAAGUACGCAUCCACAUACAUCCACUCAUUUUCUUCUCCAGAUUCACUCAAAAUUAUUCUACUCCUAUUCGGAUGAGAAUAGCCAAAAACAUUAUCCCAUUCCUAUUUUCCCUGUGAAAUAAAUGCUCGAGUUAUCUUGAUUACUACCACUUGCUAUAUUAUUUCAGGAGAUGAGUGCUCUAAAAAAAGAAGAGAAACAAUACGAGGAAAUAAAAAGGGGCAAGUGCCCGGAACCUCGAAGAAAAGAAAAAUGAGACGAGAGGUAAAAAUGGACAAGUGUCCGACAGUAGAAUUAAGGGUACAAGAUACCCACCUGAGAGAAAAGAAAAAUAAAAUAUAGAGAAUCUCAUUCUCCUCAAAAAAGCUUCAAAGUGCAAGAAAGGUAUGUAUCCCCUUAAAAGAGCAAAAGUAGAAUUAGACUUUCACCAUUGUUAUCACCAUCAUCACCAUACACCAUUCACUCGCCACACAUGCACAUCUUGAUUUGACUUAUUGACUGGUUCUUCUAGAUCCAUGGUUUGACUAUGCAAUAAAUGUCUUGUAAGUAUGUAUGCUUUAUCUCCCACCUAUGAGCUCCAGAUAUCAAAACCUUAUUAGAGUAGGGUGAGAGAGAAGGCAAUAUCACUAUGCCUCAUACCAAAAAUACCACAUACUUUAAGAGAAGGCAUAUACUAUUACUGCCUUGGAAAGGAUCCAGAAAUACCACAAAAAAGAGAUUUGAGAGGGUCAUACAAGGAAUCUCUGAGUUUUAUUUGGAAAUCUACAAAAACUCCAGAGCUAUAGUUAAUCAAAGAACAAGAGACAUGGCACUUGACUAGACCGUUCUAUCUUUUAACUGCUCAAGACAGAAGUGACAGUUACAAGCCCCAUGGUGAAAGAUAAAAUGAGUAAGUUUUAAGUCUUAACAGUUUACUCUAACUCAGAGAUGAGAUCUUGCUUGAACGCAUGUGUACUUUUAAGGCAUGAAACCACUGCAGAAACUCUUGAGUCCAUCCUUGCUCAGGGACGAGCAAGAGGUAAGCUUGGGGGAGUUGUUGACGGUCCUUACGUACCAAAUAUAAUCAUCAAAUAAAUAAAGAAAAGGAUCCAAAUGCAACCAACACCCAGACUUAGGGUUUUAUCUGACAGAAUUCCACGAGUUUCGGUGUUUGUCUAUUUCUGCAGGGUGUUAUCAGGAAAUAUGGAGGAAAGGCCCACAUGUCGGGUUUACAUAGAGAUAUUAAUGUGCCGUGCAAUUUUCUAUCAUCUAGAAGAGUCCAGAAGCUACGGGAACGAACGGGAAGGCGAUCGGGCCUAGGGGCAGGGUGCCCGCCCUCCCCCCUUGGGCGCCCGCCCAGGUGUUGUGGCCAAUCACGUUCAAUCUCGCGGAUUAUGCUCCACCGACCUAAAGGAUCAAGGAUAACCGUUCAAUCAAUGUCGGUUUGAUCCGACAGCCCACGUUCACCUAAGGGGACUAUAUAAGCAGACCCCCUGGCCCCUAGAGGAGAACAAGUUCAUUAUAGAGUUGACAGGUGCCCUCGAAGGAUAACCUUUCCUCUACAUAGACUUAGGGCUUAGCAUCCAAUGUGAGAGUAGACUAGUUCUACUAGAUUGAGAGAGAUAGAGUGGAGGUGUAGAUCGGAGGAAGCCCGGCCUGUCGGUGUCUACUCCGAGUUUUACCUGCGGGAUCAAGUCUCCUAACCCGAGGCUUGCUCCUAGGAUUCUUCAGUAUUUCGACUUCUAAAUUCUAGUAAGUUCUUGUUUUAUUAUUCUUUGGUUUAUGAGUUUACUUUGAUCUCAUCGCGUAGAGUUUAGAGUAAUCAUCUCUAGCGUAAACAUGGUGUUUGGGCUAGGAUACUCAUAGAUAUCCCCUGACUAGCUGGACCGUGGUAGUAGCGAGGAACGUGACAUUUCCGAGUUACCUUUGUAGCCCAUAUCCUGUUAGCCGGAUCGAUAGGGUUUAUAGGUGCGGGUCGAACAUCCUCUGUGGUGUCUAGAUUCCGUGAGCCUCCCCAACAGAACAGUAGAUCAUCCUUACCAAGGUUAGAACGAGAUUACGGUUGUAGUCUUCUCUAUACAUCGCUCACAUCGAGUCACAUUCUUUGUAGCCUAAAGGGUAGUAGCAAUAGAUUUGGUUAGUCAGAUGCACGCUUUCUCCCAGUGGAAAAAAUAUAAAUACGAUACUCUGGAUAACCUCCCGAGUGAAGUGCUCACCGAUAUCUGUGCGCUUGCGGAUCAUUUCCUGAUGGUGUUACCAAAUAUCAACACAUACCUUCCUUCCACUUUGAAGCUUUUUGAGGAGAAUGAGAUGCUCUAUAUUUUAUUUUUCUUUUCUCUCAUGUGGGUAUCUUGUAUCCCUAAUUCUACUGUCGGACACUUGUCCAUUUUACCUCUCGUCUCACUUUUUCUUUUCUUUGAGGUUCCGGGCACUUGCCCCUUUUUAUUUCCUCGUAUUCAUUUUUUUUCAGAGCACUCACCCUCCUAGAAUAAUGUAGCAAGUGGUAGUAACCAAAAUAUCUCGAGCAUUUAUUUCACCGGGAAUAACAGGGAUAGGAUAAUGUUUUUGGCUAUUCUCUCCUUGAUAGGAGUAGAAUAAUUUUGGGUGAAUGUGGAGAUGGAAAGGAGUGGAUGUAUGUGGAUGCGUACUUCCGGAGUAGAAGCAGCAUGUAUGAGUGAACGUGCAAGUGAAUCUUAAUUUUAACCGCAUGACAAGCUCCUAAGGGUCUACACAGCUUGACCACACUCAAUGCUCAUAAGCAGUAAAAAGUAAAUGUAUGGUUCAUAGUCUAAUAAGCAUGUAUAUAUGGCUGUGGUAGGAUUUUAAACUCUCAUCAUACAGGAACUCAUCAUGCGACAUUUUAAAGAUUUUCAAAGAUAAAAUUCUCUAGAAUUCUAGCAUCUCUAGGAACAGAUAAACAGCAGCUCAACCUUCCCAUAUCGUAUCUGUUAACGACUUAGACUUUAGAUCAAGUACUCUUCCCACAAGUUUAGGUUCAGAGCAAUUCUUAAUUCAUAACAGUCAUGCCUAAACUUGAGAGAGAUUUCAAUUCUGAGAACUAGUCAUGGCAGAGCAACUAUUCAUCAUUUCCAUGUGAGAGCUUAUCAUGAGGGUUCAUAGCAAACUUUAUUUAUUUAUUUAUUUAGCAAACUAAGCAAAGAUAUAUAUAUAUAUAAGCACUAAAAUCUUUAUUUGGGUUUUUAUAAUUAUGCAUCUUUUUAUUAUUUGAGUAAAGUAUAAACGCGAGUAGAAACACUUAGCUGGAUAAAUAGGGGUGCUCUCCCCCAAACUGGAUUUUGAUGUAAUUUCUUCUAAUGUAGCUAGCAGGUGGCAGAGGUGUAUUUGAAUGUCAGCAGCACCCUGAUAGCAAUUAGGAUGUCCUCCGUCUGCUAGUCUUCUUUGAUCCUUGAAUUCUAUGGAGCUCAAAUAGACAACAAAGCUUUGUGGAACUAGUUAAGUGUUAGCAUAAAAAUCUCUUUGCCUUUAUCAUGUUGAGCUUCCUCUAAUAAAUAUUACCGUCUUUGGUAGGAUCAUAAAUUUAUUUUUAUAUUUUUAUUUUUAUAGGAUAGGAAUAUGUUUAUUUUAUUUUUACGCCACCACAGUGAAUGUACUUAUGGGUUUUAUGCCACGAGCAUACUCACAUGGGGCUUACUAUUUUUAACAUUUUUAUUUUCUUUUCAAGAUAGCAUGAUUAACUAACAAGCCAUUUAAGAAAAGUAAAUAAUUUUAAGGGAAAAGAGAAUGGAGAAAGGAUAAAUAUGGAUAACUACCGAUUUUACCUUUCGGCGAUGGUUCAAUGUUUUAAGUCUUCUGAACAAGACUUCUCACCGUGUUUAUUCUUCAAGUGCAUCAUUUGAUUCAGGUGUGGACCUUGACGUCUGCACCUCUUGAUACGGUGUCAUCCAUGUUCUUCGUUUGCCCAGCAGUUCAAAGUACGGCGUUGGCAGCAUCCUGCUCAGUGUGUUUGUGCUCAUAGAUCUAGGUCCUUCACUUGGUGGAGUCUGGGAGUUGUAAAACUCCUCCAUGUUUUGCUCGAAGUGUACCUACUCAUAGAGACAAGGCAGAGAUCAAGUGCAUGGGCCCUGUUGGUGGAAAACACCAACAGAACCAGAAGUGUAUUUGUUCUUCUCUAACCUUAAGCAUAGUGAGCAAGACAAAUUUGAUGGAUAAUAAGAUCAUGAGUGUAGUAUUUAAAACAUUUGUCAGAUCAGAUCGCUCAAUCCUAAUUUAAAGAUGAUCUAUCUAUAUUUAUGUUUUUUUAUAUAUCUUCUAAAGAUUGAGUGUGCAACAUUUUAGCUCAUAUGGUUAGGAGUGUGGGAUCACAAAGUGGAAGGACUAAACAUGUUGAAUCGAUUGGGUUGGUUAACCUAGAGUUGUAAAUCAUACAUGUUUGUCUCUUUUAUUCAUAUGAACGCCAGAACCAAGGAGAAGCUUAUAAAAGUGAUAGUCAAGUACCUUAAGAUGUUACCUUACUUGAAGAGUGAUGAUACAAUAUCACCUUGUGGAAGCUUUCCUUUCUUAGCGGUUGUGUAUCGUGUUUGUGGCACCCUCCAUGGAUCAUCUCUUAUGAGCUAUGUCUUCCUUGUGUAAAUUGUUGAACUUCAUGUGUCUCUCUCUUUGUCUCCAAUGUGAGUUUAUCUCAGGACUUUCCAGGGCGAUAUUGAAAGUUUUCCUGCAGGGGUUAGUCCAACAAAAUAUCCAAUAUCUACUAUAGUAUACUAUCGGCUCAAAAAUCAACCUAGAUACCAUGUCUAAUUUGAUUUAGGAGGGCAUUUUAACCUAACCACCAUGCUUAUUUUAAAAUACCUUGGAAGUAAGAUCAUCAUUCCUAAACUAAGCACCAUGCUUAUUUAAGAGAUAAAUGAAACUACUCCAAACCUAAACAUAUACUAAAGCAAAUAAAGGUAGCAUGAGAGCAUUUAUAGAGAUCUACUCAAGUGGAGAUGAAGUAGUGUGAUUAGUAUUUAACAAAUUGAGCAUGUCUCCAAGGUAGGGACAACCAACA
Molecule: long non-coding RNA, 10302 nt
Filed under: Sorghum bicolor (sorghum)
Lineage: Eukaryota; Viridiplantae; Streptophyta; Magnoliopsida; Poales; Poaceae
Description: long non-coding RNA (SBIC_LNC015644)
Source: RNAcentral